GUUUUCGUUGGAAAAGUAUCAGUUUGUUCGAUUACACAAACAGUAACAAAUCAAAUCAACAUGAAAUUCAUCCUUGUCUUGUGCGCUUUGGUCGUUGUGGCCUCCGCUACUCCAUUCUACAUUGGUUCCGAUGAAGAAAUCCCAGCUGAUAUGCACUCAAUGGAAGAUCACAGCAUCCCAACACCCAAGCCCGUUAUUGAUAUCGCACCCGCCAAUAUCGCUAUCGAUGCCGUUGCUGAUGCACCUGCUGGCCACACAUCUGGAUAAAUUUAUCAAUUAACUAAAAAUAAUUGAUCGCAUGUUAUGAUUAUGAUUGUUCCUAUAAUAUAAUAAUAAAAUAUUAUAUAUUUCUGCAUAAA
Dalotia coriaria is the source of this 359-nucleotide long non-coding RNA. RefSeq lists it as uncharacterized. NCBI's taxonomy places the organism in Eukaryota, Metazoa, Arthropoda, Insecta, Coleoptera, Staphylinidae. The record is from RefSeq and is a predicted model, not a curated record. The transcript is spliced from 2 exons.